This 305-nucleotide ribosomal RNA is filed under the name uncultured bacterium. RNAcentral's name for it is "bacterial SSU rRNA". It matches the Rfam family "Bacterial small subunit ribosomal RNA", at positions 338 to 659 of the family's 1533-position model. The record is from RNAcentral.
CCUCCUUUUCGCAGCACCGGGGAAUAUUGCACAAUGGGGGGAACCCUGAUGCCUCCCCUCCUCUUUCUUUCUUCCUUCUUUCUUUAUGUAAAGCUCUAUCAGCAGGGAAUAGAAAAGAAGGUACCUGAAAAAGAAGCCCCGGCUAACUACGUGCCAGCAGCCGCGGUAAUACGUAGGGGGCAAGCGUUAUCCGGAUUUACUGGGUGUAAAGGGAGCGUAUACGGAAAGGCAAGUCAGAAGUGAAAACCCAAGGCUCAACCAUGGGACUGCUUUUGAAACUGUCAAACUAGAGUACGGGAGAGGUA